CACUCUUCUGGGAUUUAAUUUGAGAUAUUGGUACCUCUAAGAUGAUAUAUCAGUGGUUUAAAGUCGAAAAAACUACUGCAAGGUGUAUUUCGAUGUCCCCCCUUCUGCCUCUCUCUGGAGCUGCAGACAGAAGAGGCUGAUUUCGCCUGCCUCCGCCUGCCUCAUUAAUUAUUUAUGAGCCCCUCCUCUGAUUGGCUGACUGCACUUUGCAUCACACACAACCAGGCCUAUCACCUGAAGCUUGUUGGAGCAUAGGGUAGAACUUGCUGAUUGGCUGACUGCACUUUGAGGUGGGCCUCAACGGCCUAUCAACGGUCUCAUUCUGGAGCAUUGAAGAACUCUCCAGUAAACAAGAAUGGUGAUGACCACAGCUGAACGUCACGUUGUUAUGUUUAGAUACAGCUGUAGAAGACCAGCCACACAUUCACAGCUGGUUACAACAGGAUGUUUCAAACGCUGUGGUAAUGGUGCCAUGAUGACAACAGAGAAUGUGCUGCAGGGAGACACACAAGGUUCUUAGGAGAAUGAAGCAGCUUCAGUCCUCCACAAACUACAUGACAAAGCAUCCUGGCCUGGAAACUGUGUGCUGGACUGUCUACUCUCUGCAAAAGCUUUGCCAGGCGUACAGGAGCUUCGUCAGCUGCUGCUGGGGCCAUCUUGCGAGAAAGGUGAGGUUUGUAAUUCCCUCGUGUGAAGUCUUUCCCAUACGCAAGGAGUUCCCUGAUGAGGAUUCCCAGUUAAGUUGGCUUCAGACCGCCCCUUAACUGGCACAGCCAGCGAGGACCUCUUCUUUUGGUAGUCUCUCGUACUGAGUGGACAGCAGCUUGGGGACGUUGAUCUUCUGAAACUCAUUGACGUAUGGUGCAGGAUCUUUAAAGACUUGGUCAAACAGGACCUCCAUCAGUUCUUGGAUGUAACCUGGAAAACAUUUGUGCAGUGAUGUUUUUAUUUAUGUAAAUGUUAUUUACCUUGUAAUAAAAAUACACAUCUGUAAUCAAAACAUUUUGUGUAUCUUACCAUAUGUUGGACUGUUUUCACUGGCUUUGCUGUGCCCCUUCCUUUCUAGAUCGGCUUCUUUGAAGAGCUGGUUGCUUUUAGGGUGAUCAGCAUUUUCAUUGAAGUGUAUUGAAGACAGGUACAACCUGAAAAACAAAGAAAUCUGUGUAAAUUAUCGAACUGAGACUUUGCACACCAGUUCAACCAAACAU
This is an RNA transcript of Hippoglossus stenolepis (Pacific halibut), 1208 nucleotides long. RefSeq lists it as uncharacterized. The transcript is spliced from 4 exons. Lineage: Eukaryota; Metazoa; Chordata; Actinopteri; Pleuronectiformes; Pleuronectidae. The record is from RefSeq and is a predicted model, not a curated record.